AGAGUUCGAUUCUGGCUCAGGAUGAACGCUAGCGACAGGCUUAACACAUGCAAGUCGAGGGGCAGCGAGGGAGUGGCAACACUUCUGUCGGCGACCGGCGCACGGGUGAGUAACGCGUAUGCAACCUGCCCUUCACAGGGGGAUAACCGGGAGAAAUUCCGACUAAUACCGCAUACGUCCUCCGGGGGCAUCCCCGGAGGAUGAAAGAUUUAUCGGUGAAGGAUGGGCAUGCGUGAUAUUAGGUAGUUGGCGGGGCAACGGCCCACCAAGCCUACGAUAUCUAGGGGUUCUGAGAGGAAGGUCCCCCACAUUGGUACUGAGACACGGACCAA
RNAcentral lists this ribosomal RNA (332 nucleotides) under uncultured bacterium. RNAcentral's name for it is "bacterial SSU rRNA". It matches the Rfam family "Bacterial small subunit ribosomal RNA", at positions 8 to 334 of the family's 1533-position model. The record is from RNAcentral.